Molecule: ribosomal RNA, 772 nt
Filed under: uncultured Neocallimastigales
Lineage: Eukaryota; Fungi; Neocallimastigomycota; Neocallimastigomycetes; Neocallimastigales
Description: partial large subunit ribosomal RNA
Rfam family: Eukaryotic large subunit ribosomal RNA
Source: RNAcentral
CGCAUCUGUGCAUGCAGCAUAUCAAUAAGCGGAGGAAAAGAAACUAACAAGGAUUCCCUCAGUAACGGCGAGUGAAGCGGGAAGAGCUCAAAUUUGAAAUCUUGAAAGGUCACCUUUCACGAAUUGUAGUUUAAAGAAGUGUUUUCUGUUACGAUCGUAAUAUAAGUUCUUUGGAAUAGGACAUCACAGAGGGUGAGAAUCCCGUCUAUGAUUGCGAUUUGUAGCUUUGUGAUACACUUUCAAUGAGUCGGAUUGUUUGGGAAUGCAGGUCCAAACUGGGAGGUAAAUUUCAUUCUAAGGCUAAAUAUUGGCGAGAGACCGAUAGCGAACAAGUACCGUGAGGGAAAGAUGAAAAGAACUUUGAAAAGAGAGUUAAAUAGUACGUGAAAUUGUCAAAAGGGAAGCGUUUGACACCAGUGUUGUUUUCUGAAAAUCAACCUCUGUUAGCUUUAUGCAUGUUUGUUUAGACCUAAUCAGCUAUCUUGCAUGUUCUAUUGUUUGCAGUGGUGCACUUUUCAGUUUACAGGUCAACAUCAGUUUUUUUUACCGUAAAAAAGUUAAAGAAAGGUAGCUCAUGGCUCCGGUCGUGAGUGUUAUAGUCUUUUUCCUAUGCGGUAGGAGAGACUGAGGUCUGCAGUGUAGGCUAUUUGGCUAGAUACUCAGGUGCUAUGUGAUACCAUUUCAUAAACAACUUGUUGAUUAUGUUUUGUCUAUUGCAUACUCGCUUGUACUAUCAUACCUACGCUUAGAUGUUGACGAUCAGCUGAGCGCG